ACCUGACUAACUCAAUUGGAAGAGCGUGCGACUCUUGAUCUCGGGGUCGUGAGUUCAAGCCCCACGUUGGGUG
RNAcentral lists this transfer RNA (73 nucleotides) under Felis catus (domestic cat). It matches the Rfam family "tRNA". Rfam says of the family: Transfer RNA (tRNA) molecules are approximately 80 nucleotides in length. Their secondary structure includes four short double-helical elements and three loops (D, anti-codon, and T loops). Lineage: Eukaryota; Metazoa; Chordata; Mammalia; Carnivora; Felidae. The record is from Rfam by way of RNAcentral.